Molecule: long non-coding RNA, 930 nt
Organism: Armigeres subalbatus
Lineage: Eukaryota; Metazoa; Arthropoda; Insecta; Diptera; Culicidae
Exons: 5
Source: RefSeq, a predicted model, not a curated record
CUGCUCACAUUUUGACGCUGUCGAUUGCUGCCCGGUGCGCCGCCAUAUUUAAUGCGCAAGUGUUUUUAAGAAUUGGUUCUGAUAAAAAUUGAUCUUUUGCAGCAUAAUAAAGAAACCAACUCGCUUCGAUAAAGUUUUCUGCCGUGAGCUAUUCGACCGCUUUAUAUUUGUCACCCACCUGAGUGGAGGAUGGAGAAAUGUACGAACCCCCUUAUACCUAUCCGGAAAACGACGUUAUUACGCGUAUAGGAAGUUGAAUACAGCGGAAACUGGUUCCGUGGAGGGAACCUUCUAUGAAGUAAAGGAAUCGGAUCCGAGAUAGGAUCUAUUUGCAUGUAUCAACAUACUCGUACCCGUCAUACUAAUUUUCCCGGAUAGCCAAAUGUCCUUCGAAAGGUUUUAUCGUUUUUCACCUGUGGCAAUGUAUGUACACGACCAACUAUUUUAUGAUACUGGCACCUAAUCGGAAAGAAUUUCGGUGUCGAUAGUGUUUGACGUCGUCCCAGAACGCCGACUUCCGUGCCGCUCGGAUAUGUUCUUUCCACGGUGGUGAUUCGUCCGAAACAGCCUGGCAGUUUCGAGUGACAGACCACACAGCUUUCGCCAUGCCAUUUCAUCAGAUUAGAAGAUCAUGUUCAGGACGAUACGCUGCCCAUAGCUGAUAAUUCCAUGACACUUCAGAGCUGCGGAUGGCCUGAACAGGCCAACGAAUGAUACUCUAGCCUUCCAAUAGGCGAACAAUGCUACCGGUAUGAGAGGAAUGGUAACCUUGAAGUGUUGAAUUUCACUAUGCCAUUUCAGCAUUAUAUAGAAAACAUCGUAACCCGAUCUGUGGGUACAAAAUUAAUUUUCUUUGUAAUUUGUACAGUAUUGAAAAAAAUAAUAGUAAGUAAGAACAAUAAAAUAUUGUUUUAGUGCAAAUUCAAUAAA